This 492-nucleotide ribosomal RNA is filed under the name uncultured bacterium. RNAcentral describes it as "partial 16S ribosomal RNA". It matches the Rfam family "Bacterial small subunit ribosomal RNA", at positions 29 to 507 of the family's 1533-position model. The record is from RNAcentral.
AGUGAACGCUGGCGGUAGGCCUAACACAUGCAAGUCGAACGGCAGCACAGUAAGAGCUUGCUCUUACGGGUGGCGAGUGGCGGACGGGUGAGGAAUACAUCGGAAUCUACUUUUUCGUGGGGGAUAACGUAGGGAAACUUACGCUAAUACCGCAUACGACCUACGGGUGAAAGCAGGGGAUCUUCGGACCUUGCGCGAUUGAAUGAGCCGAUGUCGGAUUAGCGAGUUGGAGGGGUAAAGGCCCACCAAGGCGACGAUCCGUAGGUGGUCUGAGAGGAUGAUCAGCCACACUGGAACUGAGACACGGACCCGACUCCUACGGGAGGGAGCAGUGGGGAAUAUUGGACAAGGGGCGCAAGCCUGAUCCAGCCAUACCGCGUGGGUGAAGAAGGCCUUCGGGUUGUAAAGCCCUUUUGUUGGGAAAGAAAAGCAGCAGGUUAAUACCCCGCUGUUCUGACGGUACCCAAAGAAUAAGCACCGGCUAACUUCGUG